Molecule: transfer RNA, 72 nt
Filed under: Catenuloplanes indicus
Lineage: Bacteria; Bacillati; Actinomycetota; Actinomycetes; Micromonosporales; Micromonosporaceae
Description: tRNA-Ala
Rfam family: tRNA
About the family: Transfer RNA (tRNA) molecules are approximately 80 nucleotides in length. Their secondary structure includes four short double-helical elements and three loops (D, anti-codon, and T loops).
Source: RNAcentral
GGGCUUGUAGCGCAGGGGAAGCGCGCCGGUUCGGCAUUCCGGAGGCCGGCGGUUCGAGUCCGCCCAGGUCCA